AAUGCAGAAAAACGAAAAAACUCUCUCCGACAUGUAAGUGCAGAAUCCUUUUAUAUAGGUUUAGAAUGGUAUUGAAAUUUGGAUUUAAUUGCAAUCCAAAUUCACUUCAAAUUACCUUGGAAUUAGGAGUUAUUUGGAAAUGCAUUAGCUGUCAAAGCUUUUUUGUUAUUAGUCUGUUAGUUUGUUAGAGUUAGUUAUAGGUUAGUUAUCCAUCUGUUAAAAUGUUAGUUAAUUAGUUAGUUAAGUCAGAAAAUUGGUUUUCAUUCUGUUAGAUUAAUUUGAAAUUACUCUGGUUAAAAAACCUGUUAUUAAUUGAGUUUCUAACAUGUUGUUAAGCUGAACGACUCACUACCCUUUAAGUUAUGUUAUGUUAGUUUUUCAAAUCCAAAAUACUGUUAGGUCCUGCUUUUUCUGUUAGAAGUUAUGCCCUGCUAUUGUUAAAAUGGUUCAAGUCAGUUAGAAGCAAUGAGUUUAUUGUUAGUGUUUAGUGGUCAAAACAUUAAUUAGUAUUGAAUUAACUUUACUAGUUGCACUUGAUUAGUCGGUGGUUAUGACUACUAUUCUGAACUAAUGACAGUUGAAAUGAGAGCGAUUAAAUUAAAGUUAGUAUUUUGAACUUGUGUGCUAAUUAUUGGUUAUUGAUAUGGAUGUUGAACAUCUUUAAUGUUUAAAUUAAAUUAUUAAUGAUUUGAAUUAUGGCUAUCCAAAAUCGAAAUCUUGUCGAUGAUGUUUAACUUGGAAACUAAAUGGUGGAAAUAUGUUAUCCAUGGGUUGCUAUGCUAAUAAGGUUUCUUAUGAGGAAAGUUUGUUAUUUGUUAGAUUUUUUGUUAUUUAUAUUAGGGAUUCAUUUAAUAUUAGUUAGUGAAUCAGGGGUGACUGGUUGUUAUUAUGUGAUGGCCCGAGGGUACAAACCUGCUGAACAGGUUUCAUUUGAUUGCAGGUUAAGUUCAGCUACAUGCAGGUCGUGGUAUGGAUAGCUUGGUGUGAUGAAUGGAAAAUUUGGCAUGUUAUUUGAUUUGUCAUGAGUGUUGUACAUGUGUGAUGCAAGGUGUUGGUGGUUUGAUGCAAGUAUGGACUGCAGAGCAAGGCAGGGCUUUACAAUUUGCAGUUUUUUUUGGUAAGUUUGCAUGUAUACUUAGAUGUGUAGAGAGCUGCAUUGCUUGAAUGUUCAUUACCAUGUUAUAUGCUAGGAUGUUGUGAGCAAUGCAGGUUUUUGAUGUGUGGCGUUGCUUGUAGUUUGGAUGCAAGUAGUUAUUGCUGUUAAGCCAUAUUUGAUUGUUAACUACUUGCCAAUUUGUUUUGCCACUUUAGUUUGGGAUGGCUUGCUGCUAAGAUGUCGAUUUUGUUGUCGUGUCCUACUGUUAGGGUUGCGGUCUACGACAUGGAAGGUUGUUUAGAUAUCAUUGGUGGAAAGCACCGAGAGAAAGUCAUGUUGUAAUGUAGAAGAUUGAAGUGUAAAUCGAGUUGAAAUUGUAUUGAAUUAUUAUAUGAAUUGAAAGGUUCGUUUUAUGAAUAAAGAAAUAUUAGGUGUUAAUUUAAAUGUUGAAACACAUGAAUUAGAAUGAGUUAAAAGUCAUAUUGGAAUGUAAAUUGAAAGAUGGCUUUCCUGUCAAUGCGAGCUCAUGUGUACAAAAAGGUUGAUGAUUGGAAUAGAUACUUGAACCAUAGAUGAUAGAUAUGGACACUGGAUCAUCUAAAAUAACCCAAAACUAAACCAAAGAUCAACUUAAAAAUUAAAAUCAAUUAAAAUCCAAUUAAAAUUAGAAUCAAAUUGAUUUAAAAUUGG
RNAcentral lists this long non-coding RNA (1786 nucleotides) under Lathyrus oleraceus (garden pea). Its description in RNAcentral is "Pisum sativum (pea) long non-coding RNA (PSAT_LNC029305)". The record is from RNAcentral. Lineage: Eukaryota; Viridiplantae; Streptophyta; Magnoliopsida; Fabales; Fabaceae.